Molecule: ribosomal RNA, 232 nt
Filed under: uncultured bacterium
Lineage: Bacteria
Description: partial 16S ribosomal RNA
Rfam family: Bacterial small subunit ribosomal RNA
Source: RNAcentral
CGGACGGGUGAGUAAUGUCUGGGAAACUGCCUGAUGGAGGGGGAUAACUACUGGAAACGGUAGCUAAUACCGCAUAACGUCGCAGGACCAAAGAGGGGGACCUUAGGGCCUCUUGCCAUCGGAUGUGCCCAGAUGGGAUUAGCUAGUAGGUGGGGUAACGGCUCACCUAGGCGACGAUCCCUAGCUGGUCUGAGAGGAUGACCAGCCACACUGGAACUGAGACGCGGCCCAG